RNAcentral lists this ribosomal RNA (461 nucleotides) under uncultured bacterium. Its description in RNAcentral is "partial 16S ribosomal RNA". It matches the Rfam family "Bacterial small subunit ribosomal RNA", at positions 338 to 795 of the family's 1533-position model. The record is from RNAcentral.
CCUACGGGUGGCAGAAGGGAGGAAGAGGGGGGAAGGGGAGCGAGCCUGAACCAGAAAAGGAGCGUGAAGGAUGAGUGCAAGACGGGGUGUAAACUUCUGUUAUAAAGGAAUAAAGUGAGGCACGUGUGCCUUUUUGUAUGUACUUUAUGAAUAAGGAUCGGCUAACUCCGUGCCAGCAGCCGCGGUAAUACGGGGGAUGCAAGCGUUAUCCGGAUUUAUUGGGUUUAAAGGGUGCGUAGGCUGUGAGGUAAGUCAGCGGUGAAAUGCCCCCGCUCAACGGGGUGAAGUGCCAUUGAUACUGCCUUGCUGGAAUGCGGAUGCCGUGGGAGGAAUGUGUGGUGUAGCGGUGAAAUGCAUAGAUAUCACACAGAACACCGAUUGCGAAGGCAUCUCACGAAUCCGCGAUUGACGCUGAUGCACGAAAGCGUGGGUAUCAAACAGGAUUAGAUACCCUAGUAGUC